Molecule: ribosomal RNA, 389 nt
Filed under: uncultured bacterium
Lineage: Bacteria
Description: bacterial SSU rRNA
Rfam family: Bacterial small subunit ribosomal RNA
Source: RNAcentral
AUUGAACGCUGGCGGCAUGCCUUACACAUGCAAGUCGAACGGCAGCACGGGAGCUUGCUCCUGGUGGCGAGUGGCGAACGGGUGAGUAAUACAUCGGAACGUACCCUGAAGUGGGGGAUAACGUAGCGAAAGUUACGCUAAUACCGCAUAUUCUGUGAGCAGGAAAGAGGGGGAUCGCAAGACCUCUUGCUUUAGGAGCGGCCGAUGUCGGAUUAGCUAGUUGGUGAGGUAAAGGCUCACCAAGGCGACGAUCCGUAGCGGGUCUGAGAGGAUGAUCCGCCACACUGGGACUGAGACACGGCCCAGACUCCUACGGGAGGCAGCAGUGGGGAAUUUUGGACAAUGGGCGGAAGCCUGAUCCAGCCAUGCCGCGUGAGUGAAGAAGGCCU